GACGAACGCUGGCGGCGUGCUUAACACAUGCAAGUCGAACGGAAAGGCCCUGCUUUUGUGGGGUGCUCGAGUGGCGAACGGGUGAGUAACACGUGAGUAACCUGCCCUUGACUUUGGGAUAACUUCAGGAAACUGGGGCUAAUAUCGGAUAGGAGCUCCUGAUGCAUGGUGGGGGUUGGAAAGUUUCGGCGGUUGGGGAUGGACUCGCGGCUUAUCAGCUGGUUGGUGGAGUAGUGGCUUACCAAGGCUUUGACGGGUAGCCGGCCUGAGAGGGUUACCGGCCACAUUGGGACUGAGAUACGGCCCAGACUCCUACGGGCGGCAGCAGUGGGGAGUAUUGCACAAUAGGCGGAAGCCUGAUGCAGCGACCCCGCGUGCGGAAUGACGGCCUUCGGGUUGUAAACCGCUUUCGCCUGUGCCGAAGCCUGCUUGACGGUAAUGAGUAAAGAAGCCCCGGCUAACUACGUG
RNAcentral lists this ribosomal RNA (468 nucleotides) under uncultured bacterium. Its description in RNAcentral is "partial 16S ribosomal RNA". It matches the Rfam family "Bacterial small subunit ribosomal RNA", at positions 28 to 507 of the family's 1533-position model. The record is from RNAcentral.